Molecule: long non-coding RNA, 5971 nt
Organism: Aegilops tauschii subsp. strangulata
Lineage: Eukaryota; Viridiplantae; Streptophyta; Magnoliopsida; Poales; Poaceae
Source: RefSeq, a predicted model, not a curated record
GGGGGGACUCAAACAAGGCACCAGCGGCGGCCAAGGAUCGCCCCCAGCAGAAGCGGCAGCGCAACCGCACCCCCACCAGCCAGCACCGCGGCUCGGGCUGCCAUGGGCGGGAGGCUGCGAUCCGCAUCACCUGCCUCUGCCUCUGCGUCGCGCGCCCUCCCCGCCCCUUAUCCCCCUCCUCCGCCCCCAGCGAACCACAGCCCCGACCCCGUCGCCGACUUCUUCUCCGGCGAAGAGAACCAGCUCCCGCCCCCGCCUUGUGUCGAGCCUGGGCGAGAUGAGAUCGAGGAUGCCGUCGCCGGUGUGCUAGCGGCCCCGCUCGACUUCGGAGGGGCUGGUGCACACGACUCCAGCGUCGACGUGCCGGCUCCCAGUGGGCCCCUUGCAUGCAUGCAACCCAGCUCCGUCCAGGCAUGCAGGACCGCCCCGCCCCCUCCCACGACCGCAACAGUGCUCGGGGCGGUGACUCACCAGGUGUAGCAACUGCAGCUUGGGCGAGAUGGCGCUGCCACUCAGCUGCUCUUCUGCGAGGCUCCUCCCCCUCAUGGCGAAUACCAGCAGCGGCACGGUGGCCCUCCGCCCCCCCAAGACGCGAGCGCCAUCGGCCCCCAUCCGGCAUAACGCCAGGCAGGCGGCCAUCCCCUCCUCCACCCCUAUCACGUAGCGGGCCAUGCUCCGGCUGGUUCAGGAGCUCGACAUCAUGGGGCCAAAGCAGCGGAUGAUGGUGAAGGCAGCGGAGGCGUGCAGCAUCGUUUUGAUGAGCUGCUGACUGAAUACGACGUCGCCUGCAUUGCCAAGCUUACGCGCCUCGACGUCCAGGCGCUGCACACCAUGGCAGGCCCGGACGGAGCAGCACAUGAGUAGAUCAUGUUAGCGCUUGGAUUAGGUAGUCUCCGGCAGCAGCUGGCCUUAAGCUAGUCUGAGUUAGGUAUCUUUGUUAUGAUUAGUGCAGGUUAUCGAUGUUUAGCUCGUAGUCAGCGUGAUUUGGGGCGUAUUGGUGGACGCUGGCACGCCACGGAUGUGAGGUGGUGUCUCUGUAUUAGAAUGUUUCCUUCAGUAAUAGAAUUUGGUUUGUUGCCGGAGCAUUUUCGAAGGCGUUAUGAGUAACACAAUCAUCUCCAUCAUGAACUGGAACGUACGGGGCCUGAAUUCGCCGACCAAGAGAGCAACCAUUUGCGAGACAGCCAACGCCCACAGCCUCGCUCUCCUUUGUCUUCAAGAGACCAAGAUAGAUGCAUGGACACAAGGCAUCGUCAGAGAGAUCGGCGGUGGCCGCCUGGACAACUGCGUCGUGUUCCCGGCCGUGGGUACGCUCGGCGGGGCAGCGAUCUUCUGGGACUCCUCCAAGGUCGCCGUGGCUACGCAUUCUGUGGGGCAGUUCUCCAUCACCGCCAGUGUCCACCAACUGCACACCAACACUUCCUUCUGGUUAACAACAGUGUACGGCCCUGCCGAUGAAGCCAGGAAAGAUGAGUUCCUUGAUGAGAUGGUCAGAAUCAGGCCGCCCCAGGGUGAACCAUGGCUGAUCAACGGAGACUUCAACAUCAUCUAUGAGGCAAGAGGCAAAAGCAACCGCAACCUAAACAAAAUAAUUAUGGGAAGAUUCAGAGACGCCAUUGACAGGGCAAGCGUGAGAGAAAUCAAAUGCAAAAACACACGCUUCACCUAGAGCAAUGAGAGGGAAAACCCAACCUUCGUCGCGAUCGACAAAGUUUUCUGCAACCAGGAAUGGGAAGCUUCUUUCUCAUGGCUGCACCCACCUCCUGCUCAGAUCAUUGCCCUCUGCUUCUGACCAACGCCGCGGCACCACCCCGCCAGGCCGUUUUUAGAUUUGAAUCUUUCUGGCCCAAGUUCCCUCAUUUCCAACAGACAGUUCCACAUUGCAUCUGAAGUUGUACUCCGGCUAGAUGUGGCACAAGAAAAGCGUCAGCUCACUCCCAGUGAAUUUUGGUUAAGGAAGACGCUGAAACUUAAGAUCGUCGGGCCUGCAGUACUCGAGCGCGUCAGAAAGAGGCAGGCAACACGGACCACCUGGAUGAAAGCGGGUGAUGCUCGCACAGUUUUCUUCCAGGCAAAUAUCAUCUCCAGGAGGAGGAAGAACCACAUCCACUGCAUUGAGGCCGCGGGCAGGCAGGCAACAAACCACAGCGACAAAGCGAAGCUGAUCCAUGAACAUUUCUCUGCCCUGGUUGGCACCAAGGGGAGGAGGGCUCGGACAAUCAAUUGGGAUUCGAUCAAGCUCCCGCGACUACAGGCAGGGACUGGCCUCGACAACCCCUUCACGGAGGGAGAGGUGUGGGCAGCGAUCUGCGUCUCUCCGGCAGAGAAGUCGCGAGGACCAGACGGUUACAAUGGCACUUUCUUCAACUAUCAAGGCUGACAUCAUGGCGGUUUUUAGGCCUUCUACCGGCUGGCAGGCGGCGAUUUUGUAGCCCUCAACCGAGCAAUCAUCGUGCUGCUGCCAAAGCAGUCCGGUGCAACAAAGCUGACUGGUUUUUGCCCCAUCAGCCUCAUCCACUCAGUGGCAAAACUGAUCGCGAAUGUUCUCUCCAUCAGGUUAGUUGGCGUCUUGGAUCAACUGGUUUCCCCCGCCUAGAGCACUUUUCAGAAGAAGAAAGGGAUACACGACAGUUUCCUCUAUGUGCAAAACACGAUCCGGAUGUUUAGAGGAAGAACUCAGUGGCGCUGCUGCUCAAGAUUGACAUCGCAAAAGCUUUUGAUUCGGUUUCCUGGGAAUAUCUGUUGGAGCUGCGGCAACGUCUAAGCUUCCUGGCGCGCUGGAGAGACUGGAUCGCUCUGCUCCUCUCCUCUGUGUCCUCGGCAUGCAUGCUCAACGGCGACCUAGGGCAUGGCAUCCUCCACCUGCGCGGGCUGCGACAAGGGGAUCUGCUCUCGCCGCUCCUCUUCAUCCUGGCGAUCGACCCCUUGCACCGGCUGCUGGAGGCGGCGCAGACGGCCGACAUUCGAACCCCACUGCCAGCCAGAACCGCACGCCUGCGGGUCACGCUCUACGCCGACGACGCAAUCCUCUUCGCCAACCCAGAGCGGCAGGAGGUUGACACCAUCAUGCAGAUACUGGAAGGGUUCGGGGACGCCAUGUGGCUACACUGCAAUCAUCAGUAGCGGCCCUCAAGUGCAACAACUUAGACGUCAUUGAUGUCCUGGGCAACAUCGGUGGCAAGAGAGUAGGCUUCCCGAUCAGAUACCUAGGUCUCCCCCUAUGCGCAGGCAAACUAUGGCUAGUUCGCAUUCAGUUCCUCCACGAUCGCGUUCGCGCACGGUUGGCGGCAUGGAAGGGUCGACUCAUGCCAAUCGCAGGGUGUCAUGUGCUUGUUUGGAGCGUGCUGUCAGCGCUGCCCGCCUUCGCGAUGGCCAUCCUGCGCAUCCCAAAGAAAUUCUACAAAGACGUAGACAAGGCUAGACGACGCUUCCUAUGGGCAUAGGAUGACGAGAUCACCGGCGGGAAGUGCAAAGUUAAUUGGCGGACAAUCACGUCGCCGGUGGACCGCGGCGGCCUCGGGAUCCCUGACAUGGAGCGCUUCAUGCAGGCCCUUCGGCUCCGCUGGCUUUGGCUGGCAUGGACCGACCCAGCGCGACCGUGGGUGGGCACAGGUACGCCCUGCGACGACAAAGACCGGGCGCUCUUCGCCUCGGCCACAAAGGUGGAGGUGGGCGACGAAAACCGGGCCCUCUUCUGGCACUGCCCCUGGCUGGGCGAGCUACCGCUCCGCCGUGCUUUCCCGCUGCUAUUCAGCCGCUCCAUCAGGAAAAACCGCACGGUGGCGGAGGCCCUGCAUGGAGACAGAUGGGUGCUCGAUCUAAGGCACGGCAAUGCUAUGGAAAUCAUCCCCCAGGUUGUCUUGCUAUGGCAGCGGAUCAGUGAAGCAAAUUUGACACUCCGAGAAGGGGUGGCUGAUGCGAUCAAAUGGAAGACAGGAGACCAAUACACAGCGAGAGCAGCCUACAGCAUCCAAUUCCCGGAUGAGCCGAGGGAGCAACUGCGUCAACUCAUAUGGAGGAUCUGGGCACCGGGGAAGAUCAAGUUUUUCCUCUGGCUACUUCACCUCGACCGCCUCUGGUGCAACGAUCGCCUGCAGCGUAGAGGGUGGGAGAAUGGAUAUUUCUGCCAGCUCUGUAACAGAAAUUUGGAGUCCUCCUUCCACCUCCUUUGGGAUUGCCCAACUUCACGCCAAAUCUAGACAACGGCGGCCACCUGGCAUGGCUGCGCUGCACUCUCCCCAAUCACCUGGGAAGUUAGCGUGACCACCACCGAGGUGGUGACCACGAUCGUCAGCGCCGCGGCACCAUCCGACAGAAAGGGCAUCAAGAUAAUGGUCGCCCUGCUGGCCUGGCAAAUCUGGCAGGAGCGAAACCGCUGCACCUUCAGAGGAAAAUCACCGAGCUGGCGCGACAUUCUUGCAGCCUGCCGGAGGGACAUUGAACAAUGGAGGCUUGCCGGAGCCCGCGGCAUAGAGACCCCUUUCGGGGAUGUUACGUGAGGAGUGAACCCAUGCUUGUAAUUUUUCUUUGCUGGGGAAGUGGAGUGUGGACUAUGUGCUCACCCCCUACCUCAUUUAGACCUUGAUCUUUUGAUCACCCUUUUUGUAACCCUCUCUCUGCUAAGCCAAUGAAAAGCCAGCAAUGCUGGAUGUUUCAAAAAAAAGGAGCUGGUGUUAGGUUCCACUGGAUCAAUUUUUAGCUCUUGUUUCUUAAGGUCUGCACAGGUUAGGGGAGUGAUUAGUCUUGUAUGUUUCUCUAAUGAGUGUGUGUCUGGAUGCAUACAUAUAGUAGUGGAGCAAUUACCAUCUGGAUGUGCAUAAAGUGCUCUUCGUUUUUUAGCGAAUACAUGUGGAUGUGCAUAAAGUGUUCUCUCUUUUUUUUACCAGAUAAUUUGGAUCAUGCUGAUUAAUGUACUUCACAUAUUUAUUUGUUUUUAAGCUAAGAGCUCCUAAUAAUCAUUUCUCCUCUUUGCAGUUGCCAUUUCAGUGAUAGCUCCUAAUAAGUGGCUCAUGAGAUGUAUUGACAGAAGUCGUCUCUUGGCGAUGAGAUUAGAAACAAUGAGACAAGCUUUGGAGAAGAAGGACUCUGAUCUUGCGGCUGCACAAAAAAGGCAGAAGACAAAACGGCACUCGUCGACCAGAUGCUGGCCUCAGUCGGAAAGCUGGAGGAAGAGAACACCAAAUUGAAGGCUGCCCUUGACGAAGCCAACAAAGAGGUGACUCGACUGAAGAAGGACAAAGGGACCCUGACUGAUAAGGUGGAAGACAUCUCCCGCAAGAGAGACGAGCUGGAGAGUUAUCUGGGAGGACUCGCCAAGAAGUUAUUCCUCAUGCUUGAAGAAUUCUGUCAAAACUUCGAGGCGGAGACUGGUUAAAUUGAAACGAGCUUGGACCCCAUCAACUCCCCUAUCAAGGAUGAAGCUGCCAUGAAUGUGCUCCGACUGGAAUCUCGUCUUGCUAGCGUCGUCGACUACCUCGCUCGACUAAAGGUUGCGGUGUCGCGGAUCGACACAGCGCUCUGGCCAAGGGCGACGCUCCAGAAUGUUCUCGAGUCUCUGAUGACUCGACUCAAUGAGAUCCCCGGUCAAGUGCAGGAAUGGAAGAAGUCUUCUGCCCGGUGUGGUGCUGACGUGGCUCUGUCUCUGGUUCGCGUUCACUACAAGGAAGCCAAAGAAGAGAAGCUAGCAGCGAUCAAGGUUGCCAACACCAAAUGGCUUGACUUCCAGUCCUUCAUGGAGACUUUCAUUGCUGCUGCUACUCGGAUUGCUGAUGGAAUCGACUUGGAUGAGUUUGUCGAACCUGCCAGCCCUCCUCCUACGGAGUGAACAAAAUCUUUUAUGAUCCGUUUAAAUUUGCCUCGGUAUGUCGAGUGGUUUUGUAACCGUUAAACUCCUUCGGGCCUAAAGCCCGUGUACUUUAAUCUGCGGUCCGGAACCUCAUGGGAUUUAUCUUAAACUUAGCCUUUCUUUGAA